CAUGCCUAACACAUGCAAGUCGAACGGAACUUCUUUAAUUGAUUUCUUCGGAAUGAUUUUGAUUAAGUUUAGUGGCGGACGGGUGAGUAACGCGUGAGUAACCUGCCUCUGAGAGGGGAAUAACAUUCUGAAAAGAAUGCUAAUACCGCAUAACGUAUAAUUAUCGCAUGGUAGAUAUAUCAAAGAUUUAUCGCUCAGAGAUGGACUCGCGUCCGAUUAGUUAGUUGGUGAGGUAACGGCUCACCAAGACCGCGAUCGGUAGCCGGACUGAGAGGUUGAACGGCCACAUUGGGACUGAGACACGGCCCAGACUCCUACGGGAGGCAGCAGUGGGGGAUAUUGCGCAAUGGGGGAAACCCUGACGCAGCAACGCCGCGUGAAGGAUGAAGGUCUUCGGAAUGUAAACUUCUUUUAUUAAGGACGAAGAAAGUGACGGUACUUAAUGAAUAAGCUCCGGCUAACUACGUGCCAGCCGCCGCCGUAA
RNAcentral lists this ribosomal RNA (484 nucleotides) under uncultured bacterium. RNAcentral describes it as "partial 16S ribosomal RNA". It matches the Rfam family "Bacterial small subunit ribosomal RNA", at positions 43 to 523 of the family's 1533-position model. The record is from RNAcentral.